AGUGAACGCUGGCGGUAGGCCUAACACAUGCAAGUCGAACGGCAGCACAAUAAGAGCUUGCUCUUACGGGUGGCGAGUGGCGGACGGGUGAGGAAUACAUCGGAAUCUACUUUUUCGUGGGGGAUAACGUAGGGAAACUUACGCUAAUACCGCAUACGACCUACGGGUGAAAGCAGGGGAUCUUCGGACCUUGCGCGAUUGAAUGAGCCGAUGUCGGAUUAGCUAGUUGGCGGGGUAAAGGCCCACCAAGGCGACGAUCCGUAGCUGGUCUGAGAGGAUGAUCAGCCACACUGGAACUGAGAAACGGUCCAGACUCCUACGGGAGGCAGCAGUGGGGAAUAUUGGACAAUGGGCGAAAGCCUGAUCCAGCCAUACCGCGUGGGUGAAGAAGGCCUUCGGGUUGUAAAGCCCUUUUGUUGGGAAAGAAAAGCAGCAGGUUAAUACCCCGCUGUUCUGACGGUACCCAAAGAAUAAGCACCGGCUAACUUCGU
Molecule: ribosomal RNA, 491 nt
Filed under: uncultured bacterium
Lineage: Bacteria
Description: partial 16S ribosomal RNA
Rfam family: Bacterial small subunit ribosomal RNA
Source: RNAcentral